GACGAACGCUGGCGGUGUGCUUCACACAUGCAAGUCGAACGAGGUAGCAAUACCUAGUGGCGGACGGGUGAGUAACGCGUGGGAAUCUGCCUUUAGAUGGGGGAUAACGGGUCGAAAGACUCGCUAAUACCGCAUAUGACGAAAGUUGAAAGGAGUAAUCCGUCUAAAGAUGAGCCCGCGUCCGAUUAGCUAGUUGGUAGAGUAAAAGCCUACCAAGGCGACGAUCCGGUAGCUGGUCUGAGAGGAUGAUCAGCCUCAAUGGGACUAGAAGACACGGCCCAUACUCCUACGGAGGCAGCAGUGGGAAUUUUACGCAAUGGGCGGAAAGACCUGACGUAGCGACACCGCGUGAGCG
This 355-nucleotide ribosomal RNA is filed under the name uncultured bacterium. RNAcentral describes it as "bacterial SSU rRNA". It matches the Rfam family "Bacterial small subunit ribosomal RNA", at positions 28 to 407 of the family's 1533-position model. The record is from RNAcentral.